GUUAAUUAUACGGUCGCGGGCCGCGAGAGCGGCGUGAGGAAAGUCCGAGCAUCGCAGGGCAAAGAUGCCUGCUAACGGCAGGAGGAGGCGACUUCAAGGAAAGUGAACAGAAAUACACCGCGGCAGUUUUGCCGUAAGGGUGGAAUGGCGAGGUAAGAGCUCACCGUCGCCCCGGUAACGGGGCGAGCCAAUUAAACCCCAUCUGAUGCAAGAUUGGGAUAAAGACUGCGUUAAAUCGCGGGGCUGCCCGUCCGUCUUUAUCCGUUAAUAUCGCUUUAACUUGCCGGCGACGGCAAGUAUAGAUAGAUGACCGUACACGACAGAACUCGGCUUACAGAUUAA
RNAcentral lists this RNase P RNA (342 nucleotides) under human gut metagenome. RNAcentral's name for it is "Bacterial RNase P class A". It matches the Rfam family "Bacterial RNase P class A". Rfam says of the family: Ribonuclease P (RNase P) is a ubiquitous endoribonuclease, found in archaea, bacteria and eukarya as well as chloroplasts and mitochondria. Its best characterised activity is the generation of mature 5'-ends of tRNAs by cleaving the 5'-leader elements of precursor-tRNAs. RNAcentral also lists the same sequence under 1 other name. The record is from RNAcentral.